Molecule: ribosomal RNA, 422 nt
Filed under: uncultured bacterium
Lineage: Bacteria
Description: bacterial SSU rRNA
Rfam family: Bacterial small subunit ribosomal RNA
Source: RNAcentral
UGAGGAAUAUUGGUCAAUGGGCGAGAGCCUGAACCAGCCAAGUCGCGUGAAGGAAGAAGGAUCUAUGGUUCGUAAACUUCUUUUGCAGGGGAAUAAAGUGCAGGACGUGUCCUGUUUUGUAUGUACCCUGAGAAUAAGGAUCGGCUAACUCCGUGCCAGCAGCCGCGGUAAUACGGAGGAUCCGAGCGUUAUCCGGAUUUAUUGGGUUUAAAGGGUGCGUAGGUGGUUUGAUAAGUCAGCGGUGAAAGUUUGCAGCUUAACUGUAAAAAUGCCGUUGAAACUGUCGGACUUGAGUGUAAAUGAGGUAGGCGGAAUGCGUGGUGUAGCGGUGAAAUGCAUAGAUGUCACGCAGAACUCCCAUUGCGAAGGCAGCUUACUAAGCUACAACUGACACUGAAGCACGAAAGCGUGGGGAUCAAACA